GACGAACGCUGGCGGCGUGCCUAAUACAUGCAAGUCGAGCGGACUGAUUAAGAGCUUGCUCUUAUGACGUUAGCGGCGGACGGGUGAGUAACACGUGGGCAACCUGCCCUGUAGAUCGGGAUAACACCGAGAAAUCGGUGCUAAUACCGGGUAAUAUCUGAGAUCACAUGAUCUUAGGUUAAAAGAUGGCUCCGGCUAUCACUACAGGAUGGGCCCGCGGCGCAUUAGCUAGUUGGUAAGGUAAUGGCUUACCAAGGCGACGAUGCGUAGCCGACCUGAGAGGGCGAUCGGCCACACUGGGACUGAGACACGGCCCAGACUCCUACGGGAGGCAGCAGUAGGGAAUCUUCCGCAAUGGACGAAAGUCUGACGGAGCAACGCCGCGUGAGUGAUGAAGGGUUUCGGCUCGUAAAGCUCUGUUGUUAGGGAAGAAACAGUACCGAACGAACUAGGUCGGUACCUUGACGGUACCUAACCAGAAAGCCACGGCUAACUACGUG
RNAcentral lists this ribosomal RNA (500 nucleotides) under uncultured bacterium. RNAcentral's name for it is "partial 16S ribosomal RNA". It matches the Rfam family "Bacterial small subunit ribosomal RNA", at positions 28 to 507 of the family's 1533-position model. The record is from RNAcentral.